CAUGCAGAGAACUUUCCUAGAGAUGGAUUGGUGCCUUCGGGAACUCUGACACAGGUGCUGCAUGGCUGUCGUCAGCUCGUGUCGUGAGAUGUUGGGUUAAGUCCCGUAACGAGCGCAACCCUUCGUCCUUAGUUACCAGCACGUUAUGGUGGGCACUCUAAGGAGACUGCCGGUGUUAAACCGGAGGAAGUGGGGAUGACGUCAAGUCCUCAUGGCCUUUAUGACCAGGGCUACACACGUACUACAAUGGCCGAUACAAAGGGCAGCGACACUGCGAGGUGAAGCCAAUCCCGUAAAAUCGGUCUCAGUCCGGAUUGGAGUCUGCAACUCGACUCCAUGAAGUUGGAAUCGCUAGUAAUCGUGGAUCAGCAUGCCACGGUGAAUACGUUCCCGGGCCUU
RNAcentral lists this ribosomal RNA (399 nucleotides) under uncultured Desulfobulbus sp. RNAcentral's name for it is "bacterial SSU rRNA". It matches the Rfam family "Bacterial small subunit ribosomal RNA", at positions 985 to 1382 of the family's 1533-position model. Lineage: Bacteria; Pseudomonadati; Thermodesulfobacteriota; Desulfobulbia; Desulfobulbales; Desulfobulbaceae. The record is from RNAcentral.